Molecule: small RNA, 124 nt
Filed under: Marmota monax (woodchuck)
Lineage: Eukaryota; Metazoa; Chordata; Mammalia; Rodentia; Sciuridae
Source: RNAcentral
GCUGGGUGCAGUGGCACACACCUUAAUCCCAGCUGCUCAGGAGGCUGAGACAGGAGGAUCGUGAGUUCAAAGCUGGCCUCAGCAAUGUCGAGGCACUUAGCAACUCAGUGAGACCCUGUCUCUA